GACGAACGCUGGCGGCGUGCCUAAUACAUGCAAGUAGAACGGUGAAGGAGGAGCUUGCUUCUCUGGAUGAGUUGCGAACGGGUGAGUAACGCGUAGGUAACCUGCCUGGUAGCGGGGGAUAACUAUUGGAAACGAUAGCUAAUACCGCAUAAGAGUAGAUGUUGCAUGACAUUUGCUUAAAAGGUGCAAUUGCAUCACUACCAGAUGGACCUGCGUUGUAUUAGCUAGUUGGUGGGGUAACGGCUCACCAAGGCGACGAUACAUAGCCGACCUGAGAGGGUGAGCGGCCACACUGGGACUGAGACACGGCCCAGACUCCUACGGGAGGCAGCAGUAGGGAAUCUUCGGGAAUGGGCGGAAGUCUGACCGAGCAACGCCGCGUGAGUGAAGAAGGUUUUCGGAUCGUAAAGCUCUGUUGUAAGAGAAGAAAGAGUGUGAGAGUGGAAAGUUCACACUGUGACGGUAUCUUACCAGAAAGCGCCGGCUAACUACGUG
Molecule: ribosomal RNA, 495 nt
Filed under: uncultured bacterium
Lineage: Bacteria
Description: partial 16S ribosomal RNA
Rfam family: Bacterial small subunit ribosomal RNA
Source: RNAcentral